RNAcentral lists this ribosomal RNA (393 nucleotides) under uncultured bacterium. RNAcentral's name for it is "partial 16S ribosomal RNA". It matches the Rfam family "Bacterial small subunit ribosomal RNA", at positions 523 to 918 of the family's 1533-position model. The record is from RNAcentral.
AUACGGAGGAUCCGAGCGUUAUCCGGAUUUAUUGGGUUUAAAGGGUGCGUAGGUGGUUUGAUAAGUCAGCGGUGAAAGUUUGCAGCUUAACCGUAAAAAUGCCGUUGAAACUGUCGGACUUGAGUGUACAUGAGGUAGGCGGAAUGCGUGGUGUAGCGGUGAAAUGCAUAGAUAUCACGGAGAACUCCGAUUGCGAAGGCAGCUUACUAAGCUACAACGGACACUGAAGCACGAAAGCGUGGGGAUCAAACAGGAUUAGAUACCCAGGUAGUCCACGCAGUAAACGAUGAUUACUAGCUGUUUGCGAUACACAGUAAGCGGCACAGCGAAAGCGUUAAGUAAUCCACCUGGGGAGUACGCCGGCAACGGUGAAACUCAAAUGAAUUGACGGGG